RNAcentral lists this ribosomal RNA (546 nucleotides) under uncultured bacterium. RNAcentral's name for it is "bacterial SSU rRNA". It matches the Rfam family "Bacterial small subunit ribosomal RNA", at positions 356 to 896 of the family's 1533-position model. The record is from RNAcentral.
GGGGAAUAUUGCACAAUGGGGGGAACCCUGAUGCAGCCAUGCCGCGUGAAUGAAGAAGGCCUUCGGGUUGUAAAGUUCUUUCGGUGACGAGGAAGGUUGAUAGGUUAAUAGCCUAUCAAAUUGACGUUAAUCACAGAAGAAGCACCGGCUAACUCCGUGCCAGCAGCCGCGGUAAUACGGGGGGUGCGAGCGUUAAUCGGAAUAACUGGGCGUAAAGGGCACGCAGGCGGUGACUUAAGUGAGGUGUGAAAGCCCCGAGCUUAACUUGGGAAUUGCAUUUCAUACUGGGUCGCUAGAGUACUUUAGGGAGGGGUAGAAUUCCACGUGUAGCGGUGAAAUGCGUAGAGAUGUGGAGGAAUACCGAAGGCGAAGGCAGCCCCUUGGGAAUGUACUGACGCUCAUGUGCGAAAGCGUGGGGAGCAAACAGGAUUAGAUACCCUGGUAGUCCACGCUGUAAACGAUGUCGAUUUGGGGAUUGGGCUUUGAGCUUGGUGCCCGUAGCUAACGUGAUAAAUCGACCGCCUGGGGAGUACGGCCGCAAGGUUA